CUUUAUUUGUACGCCUGUAUACUAUGUUUAUUGAAUCAAAUCCGUAUAAAAUACGGACAUUCUGUGUAUUGUGCAUUAUGAUCUCAACGAAAGCUUUACUGAAUCGAUUCUUUAGAACAAACUCGCAUGCGUGUGAAUCAAUUUACUUGAUUCACUCUUGAUUCUUCAGAAACUACGGAAACCUUAUUUGUAUUCCUGUUUUCAAAUUGUAAACAAUAAUCACACUUUCAUGCUGCAUGAAAUUAAAGUAUGAACUUUCCUCAACCCAUUACGUGUGCAUGAACUCAACAAAUGCAGUCCAUGCGUCUGUAUCGAUUCGCUCGAUCGAGUCAUUUAUGUUUCCCGAAGAAGAUCCGAAUCGUUUAUGAAUCUCAUCACUGUUAGAAACCCAAGAGAAGAGAUCCUCUUCCCUUAACAUCAUCAGAGGAAAAAUCUGCUUCUUAAUCAAUUAGUUUCAGCGUUUGUCUCUUCUCGAGCAAGGCGUGCUGAAACACUUUACACAAGAUUUACGUAAGAUUAAUGAAUUGAUUGCUUCUUCUGUAAUAUCACAGGUUCCUGCCAUUAAUGAUCUCUGUUCUGCCUUUUUUUUUCAUGCACAUGAGGAGAUAGCCUUUGGACUCAAGGUUUCAUUUGACUCUCCUGCUGUUGUUUUUUUUUCAGCUGUAAUUCAUAACGUGCUCUGUGACCUUCUCCCUCCCUCAGGACUCUGUGGUCUGUGUGUUCUGGUGUCUGCUGAGUCACCAGAAAUCUGCCAAGACACUGACACUUGCGCCUGCUCCAACAUCUGGUGCAUAAGGGCUUUAAGGUUUCCAGAACUAAGCUGCAAUAUUGCAUGGACACUUAAGUAUUUGAACUUUCUCAAGGCUGUCAUUCUAGACACAAAACCUCCUCCACUGCAACAUCCUUUGACCUGGACUGACGCUAUAGUGGUCACUUAUCACUCCCUCAGAAGCACCCUUUGUUCCGCCCCUGGGUCACCUGCUCACUUCAAGCCCUUCCACCUCUGUGCCUGUGGACACCGGGGCACGGCCUCUGGGGAACGUGAGGGGGGGGAAAUGCAUCAUUGUGCGUUUUUAUCCAAAACAUUAGACAUUGUUGCUCAAGGCUUACCUGUGCGUCUGGGGGCUGUCUCCGCAUGUGCUUUGAUGGUUUGAUGGUAAAAUUUACAGACCCAUUAAAUUAAUUAAUCAGUAAUUUAAUAGAUAAUUAAAUUAACAUAUGACUAUUUAUUCUCUGUUCUACUAACAAUCUCGAAAUUCGUGUCACAUCCUCUUUUGAUAAUGUAGGUCGCGCUCUCGCACGCCUCCUUAAUUCUCGGGAUGAUACUUGGGAUGACUGAUAUUGUCUGUCUAAAAAUCGUACAUACUACUAGUAUCAGGUCUGAUCUCUUCCCUCCAGCCCUCUAGGGAUCUUUGUUAAUGGUUCUUGUUCUAAACCCUCAGACGGUUCUUGUUUUAUAAUUUAUAAUAUCACACCUCUGUGGUUAUUCUGUGUUCAAUCAAUAUAUCAGCCUGAUAUUCUGCAUGAGACAUACGCUCUUUCUUUCUCAUUUGAUUUUUGUCAUCUUGAUUGUGGACAAAUUCUCUAAAUGGGUAGAAGUUUUUCCCUGUUUUCGAGAGAACACGAAGGUAGUUACUCGUUUUAAUUUUAUUUACAAGUGCCUUUCAAAGUACCUAAGAACACUGGACAGUAAAAAAGAAAGACAAACAAUAAAAGCAGAACAACAAAACAACUACAAUAAAAUAAUAAGAAAUCAAUAAUAAUAAUUAUUGUUAUAGUUAUGGGGUUUCAAAUGCCAUAGACUCAGACAAGGGUACCCGUUUUACCUCAAAAGUCACACAAAACCUUUGUAAGUAUCUCUAAACUAAACUGGUGUUUUCACACUCCUAAAUCCUCUGGUAUCGUAGAACGUACUAAUCGAACAUUGAAAGACAAAUUAAGGUCAUGCAGGACACAGGUUUGGUUCUGUAAUCCAUAAUUCAUUCUGGCUGAAAUUCGUGUGACACCAAGAAAUUAUUCUCCCCUGGAAGAACUCCGGCUCCGGGUACCUCUGAUUUGAAAAUGCAUAUGGAUGAGUAUUCUGCAGCCUUUAUAGAUAAGUUGCAUAAAAUUUGUACCAAGGUCAAUAAUACAAUAUUAUCUCCACCACACACCCCUUUCACGUGGGAGACAGGUGCUGGUGUGAUCUUUUUUUAAAGUAAUGAUUUGGACAAUUGGGAAAACAAUAUAAUGGGCCUGCAGACAUAGUCGCCAUUACUUUUGCUGCUGUUUUAACUGAUCUUUUUCCACAGUGGAUCCAUGCCACUCGAUUGAAGAAGGCUCCAUAACAAAGUUGUGUUACAAUAACAAGUUUGCUGCUAUUAACGCUUUUUGUGUCCCUAUCUAGUCUCUCUCUGGCCAGUUUUCUCUCUCUCUCUCUCUCUCUCUCUCUCUCUGAGCUCUACACAGAUUUGACUGAGAAUCCUCAAGAUGUUGUGAACAAAGAGGGGAAGAGAUCUUGCGCCCCAUUUGGAACCAAUCAUCCUCACUACAACCAUGACAGUCCUCAUCACGGGUUUCGUGACUUCAUUGUUGCUCGGGGCAGGGCUACCCGCCCGAGCCUUCAUGACUUCAUCAUUGCUCGGGGCAGGGUUACCCGCCCGAGCCUUCAGGACCACUUCAUUGCUCGGAGCAGGGUUACCCGCUCGAGCUGGACUUCGAGACAACAUCUUCUGGACUAACUUCACUAACUGGACCACACGAAUGUGUUAUGUCUUUCAUCUGAUGCCGUUUUCUACUAUUAUUACACAUCUCUAUGCUCUAAAACUCUGUAUUCUUACAGGACUCUGUUCUCACUAUAGGUCGAUAUGCCUUCUAAUUUCAUUUUUCCCCUCACUGUUUUAGAACAAAUUACUCUGAAGGAAGUAGCGUGUAUCUGGGAAUUAAGAGGUUUUGAGUUUCUCUAAGCUCCGGUGAGGUGGGACGAGGGCUGAUUGGGCAUGCCCGCCCUCUGAGCACCAAUAUACGUCAAGAAGGGCAAAGAUUAACUCAGAAUUAAUUCUCGAUAUAAUCACAUAUAUGAUCAUGAGGUGAUAAUGAUUAAAUAGGAUGCUAGGAUUUGAUAAUAGUGAUACUAUUAUCAAAGGGGGGGAUUGUUAGGUUUAUAUAAGUAUUAAUUCUUGGCCAAGAAUUCAGCAAAAUUAUUCUGUGUCAAAAUUAUAUUAGUUGAAACGACCUUAGGUCCAGCUGGACAUUGUUUGGGAACAUUUUGUUUAUGAAAUGUGUAUUUUGAACAGAGAAGUGUCUGAAGGUCUGUUUUGGUGUCAGAUCGACUCACACACACCCUGAAAUGGUAGAAUUAAAGUUCAUGUUUAUGUUAAUCCAUUCAGUUGAAACUUAGGUCAUAGCUUCAUAAAAGCUAUGAAAUAUACUGAAAUAUAUUGAAAUAUACUAUGGUAGUGAUUUGGAUCCCGUAAUUAAUGAAUGCAUUCCGUGAUUAAUGUUAGUUUUAUAGUUUUAGAUUAGUUUCAUAAUGACAUUAUAAUUAUAGUUAAGAUCUUAUGAUUCUAAGGGUUUUUAGUUUAAAAGCAUUAACCUAAUUUAGUUAUGAGUUUAAUCCUGUUAGUUGUUUAAUUGUUCUCUCUCUUUCAGACAUAUUCUCAUUGUUCUUGUGGUUAAGUUGUUCUUAUUUUUAAUGUUUAUUUUCUUAUAACAUUCUUUGUUUUAGCAUUGUUUUAGACAUAUUGUUAUUUGUUAUUUUGCUUAUGUUGAUGAAAUCAAGAUGUAAUUUACUGACUUAACACACAUUUAUGUGUUAAGGAGUUAUGUUAAAUUAUUAGAUCCUUUCUGUGCAAACGUGUCUUUGACCUUCUCUGAAUAGACUCCGUAGACUAGACAUUCUGUGUUUAGACAUUCCAUGCUGAUAUCUAUCUGUACCUUACUGUCAUCAGAAAUGUUUUUAUAUUAUGAUUGAUUCAAGAUCAUUACACACUUCCACAUAGACACACACCCAUUACACACACACACACAUGAAGACAAAACAUAAACACAGAAACACUAUAAGACGUUUCCAAAGAUGUUUUCAUUUUGACGAAGUGACUGUGCGAAUAAACUGACAUGUGAAUCUCUGA
Long non-coding RNA from Neoarius graeffei (lesser salmon catfish), 4109 nucleotides. RefSeq lists it as uncharacterized. Lineage: Eukaryota; Metazoa; Chordata; Actinopteri; Siluriformes; Ariidae. The transcript is spliced from 2 exons. The record is from RefSeq and is a predicted model, not a curated record.